This 502-nucleotide ribosomal RNA is filed under the name uncultured bacterium. RNAcentral describes it as "partial 16S ribosomal RNA". It matches the Rfam family "Bacterial small subunit ribosomal RNA", at positions 30 to 523 of the family's 1533-position model. The record is from RNAcentral.
AUUGAACGCUGGCGGCAGGCUUAACACAUGCGAGUCGAGCGGGGUGAUGGUGCUUGCACUAUCACUUAGCGGCGGACGGGUGAGUAAUGCUUAGGAAUCUGCCUAUUAGUGGGGGACAACAUCCCGAAAGGGAUGCUAAUACCGCAUACGUCCUACGGGAGAAAGCAGGGGAUCUUUAUGACCUUGCGCUAAUAGAUGAGCCUAAGUCGGAUUAGCUAGUUGGUGGGGUAAAGGCCUACCAAGGCGACGAUCUGUAGCGGGUCUGAGAGGAUGAUCCGCCACACUGGGACUGAGACACGGCCCAGACUCCUACGGGAGGCAGCAGUGGGGAAUAUUGGACAAUGGGGGGAACCCUGAUCCAGCCAUGCCGCGUGUGUGAAGAAGGCCUUAUGGUUGUAAAGCACUUUAAGCGAGGAGGAGGCUCUUUUGGUUAAUACCCAGAAUGAGUGGACGUUACUCGCAGAAUAAGCACCGGCUAACUCUGUGCCAGCAGCCGCCGCCG